Long non-coding RNA from Gadus macrocephalus (Pacific cod), 212 nucleotides. RefSeq lists it as uncharacterized. The transcript has 2 exons. Lineage: Eukaryota; Metazoa; Chordata; Actinopteri; Gadiformes; Gadidae. The record is from RefSeq and is a predicted model, not a curated record.
CUGUGUAAUCUGAACCUGACAGCUUGCUGCGCACUUCCAUGGACAAUCUGCUGCGGUUGCAGCCUCAUGCAUUUGAGGAGAGGAGGUCCGGAGGAGGAACUUGUUUCUGCCAACUCACCUCUUCAUUGCCAUCUACCAGUUCCUGCCUUUCAUUAAGCUCUGAUGCACUUGGUUCCUGUUCCUUAUAAAUAAAUAAAAAUGUGUUAACUCAA